Molecule: long non-coding RNA, 580 nt
Organism: Ipomoea triloba (trilobed morning glory)
Lineage: Eukaryota; Viridiplantae; Streptophyta; Magnoliopsida; Solanales; Convolvulaceae
Exons: 2
Source: RefSeq, a predicted model, not a curated record
AGGUGAAAUUGGAGGAAUCAACUCCAAAAGUCUUCUACAAGGAUUAGAAACCCGGUUGAGCGUCUUGCAGAGUUUUAGUUGCUAAGGAUGAGCUAUUUACGUGGUGAGGAUGUGCGAAGUUGUUGAAAUUGAGUGCUAUAAAUAGAUGGCGAUUCUGAAGAAGAAAGGCAACAUCAAUUGGCCCCGGAUCAAUUCCGGGGCGGCGUGGAGAUUUUUUUUUUUUUUUUUUUUUUACAGUAACAAAUUGCAGCGACGACGACGACUUCCCCAUCCGGCUUCGACUUUGUUCUGAAUUUCUGGGCAGCAACACCGUUCGUGGGCAGCAAGUUCUGUGUUAGGCAGCAGUGGCAUAAGAAUUUCCUCGUCUUUCUUUAAUUUGCUAUCUUUGUUUCAUUGGAUUUGCCAAGCAUUACAUAUUUCAAUUGCUAGUUGAUUACGACAGUGAAUGAUUUUAUUUGUGUGGAGUUAAUCUUUGAAAUGGGUUGGUACUUUCAUCAGCCUAGGAACAUGAACGAUUUGUUGUGAAACUUCUACAUUAGUUUUAGUUCUAAUUUUGCCAAUUAAUUUUGUUGUUAUCCUA